CGUGUACCAGUGGGGUCCCUUGGCCUGGCUUGCAGGAUCAGGCCAAACCUGGCUCUCAAACAUCCCCCAGGGGUACAGAUUGUGAGAGGGUUUAGGCCAGGCCAAGGGACCCCACUGGUGCACG
Molecule: microRNA precursor, 124 nt
Filed under: Myotis davidii
Lineage: Eukaryota; Metazoa; Chordata; Mammalia; Chiroptera; Vespertilionidae
Description: mir-9193 microRNA precursor family
Rfam family: mir-9193 microRNA precursor family
Source: Rfam by way of RNAcentral